CUCACUGGCUGRGGUGCAGCCGUGAGGGGUUCUCGUCUGUAGUGGACGAGGGCCGGGUGCGCGACAACGAACGAGCCAGACACACUAUUGGGUCCUGAGGCAACACUCGGGCUUGGCCAGAGCUGUUGUCCCACCAUCUUGGUGGUGGGGUGUGGUGUUUGAGAAUUGAUAGUGGUUGCAGAC
This 183-nucleotide unclassified non-coding RNA is filed under the name Mycobacterium kansasii. RNAcentral's name for it is "partial miscellaneous RNA". Lineage: Bacteria; Bacillati; Actinomycetota; Actinomycetes; Mycobacteriales; Mycobacteriaceae. The record is from RNAcentral.